This 250-nucleotide ribosomal RNA is filed under the name uncultured bacterium. Its description in RNAcentral is "partial 16S ribosomal RNA". It matches the Rfam family "Bacterial small subunit ribosomal RNA", at positions 524 to 773 of the family's 1533-position model. The record is from RNAcentral.
UACAGAGACUGCAAGCGUUAUUCGGAUUCACUGGGCGUAAAGGGUGCGCAGGCGGCCGUGUGUGUCAGGUGUGAAAGCCCGGGGCUUAACCCCGGAAUUGCGCCUGAAACUACAUGGCUAGAGCAUUGGAGAGGGUAGCAGAAUUCAUGGUGUAGCAGUGAAAUGCGUAGAUAUCAUGAGGAAUACCAGAGGCGAAGGCGGCUACCUGGACAAUUGCUGACGCUCAGGCACGAAAGUGUGGGGAUCAAAC